Molecule: non-coding RNA, 194 nt
Filed under: bovine gut metagenome
Source: RNAcentral
AGAACUGAUUUUUUGACGGACAGAAUGACGGGGGUAACGCUCUUAUAAAUGUCCGCUCUGCAAACUGCGACGUGCGCGUGUUUUAAGUGAUUUUUAGAAUCUGCUUUUUAAAAUGUGCGUUCGAUAGCUCGCCAAAGUCGGCAGACGUUUUCCUAAAGCAAAGCCAUGGAAAGCAAUAUGCCGGGAGUCUUUAA